Rattus norvegicus (Norway rat) is the source of this 63-nucleotide non-coding RNA. Lineage: Eukaryota; Metazoa; Chordata; Mammalia; Rodentia; Muridae. The record is from Rfam.
GGGGAUUUAGCUCAGUGGUAGAGCGCUUGCCUAGCAAGUGCAAGGCCCUGGAUUCAGUCCCCA